GACGAACGCUGGCGGCGUGCUUAACACAUGCAAGUCGAACGAAAAGGCCCUGCUUUUGUGGGGUGCUCGAGUGGCGAACGGGUGAGUAACACGUGAGUAACCUGCCCUUGACUUUGGGAUAACUUCAGGAAACUGGGGCUAAUACCGGAUAGGAGCUCCUGCUGCAUGGUGGGGGUUGGAAAGUUUCGGCGGUUGGGGAUGGACUCGCGGCUUAUCAGCUUGUUGGUGGGGUAGUGGCUUACCAAGGCUUUGACGGGUAGCCGGCCUGAGAGGGUGACCGGCGACAUUGGGACUGAGAUACGGCCCAGACGCCUACGGGAGGCAGCAGUGGGGAAUAUUGCACAAUGGGCGGAAGCCUGAGGCAGCAACGCCGCGUGCGGGAUGACGGCCUUCGGGGUGUAAACCGCUUUCGCCUGUGACGAAGCGUGAGUGACGGUAAUGGGUAAAGAAGCACCGGCUAACUACGUG
Molecule: ribosomal RNA, 468 nt
Filed under: uncultured bacterium
Lineage: Bacteria
Description: partial 16S ribosomal RNA
Rfam family: Bacterial small subunit ribosomal RNA
Source: RNAcentral